Mauremys reevesii (Reeves's turtle) is the source of this 204-nucleotide long non-coding RNA. RefSeq lists it as uncharacterized. The record is from RefSeq and is a predicted model, not a curated record. NCBI's taxonomy places the organism in Eukaryota, Metazoa, Chordata, Testudines, Geoemydidae. The transcript has 3 exons.
AAAGAAGGGUCACAAUCAGCCUGUCUGUAAAUGCUGCAAGGAUUCUGGGUGAGCAAUCUUCCACAAGAUGUUGACAACGGAUGCUCAUUGGAGAAACAAUGCAGACAGGAUCAAGCCCCAAGGUUACAUGGGAUAAGAGGAAAAUAUGCAUCAUUUACCCCUCCUGAUAGCCUACUAGCGCAAACUCAUUGGAACGGUAAGCAU